This 72-nucleotide transfer RNA is filed under the name Elusimicrobiota bacterium. RNAcentral describes it as "Elusimicrobia bacterium (groundwater metagenome) tRNA-Arg". It matches the Rfam family "tRNA". From Rfam's summary of the family: Transfer RNA (tRNA) molecules are approximately 80 nucleotides in length. Lineage: Bacteria; Pseudomonadati; Elusimicrobiota. The record is from RNAcentral.
GGGCCCGUAGCUCAAUGGAUAGAGUAUGUGGCUUCGAACCACAGGAUCCGGGUUCGAUUCCUGGCGGGCCCA